RNAcentral lists this unclassified non-coding RNA (400 nucleotides) under uncultured fungus. RNAcentral's name for it is "sequence contains ITS1". The stretch from base 1 to 105 matches the Rfam family "5.8S ribosomal RNA", at positions 50 to 154 of the family's 154-position model. Lineage: Eukaryota; Fungi. The record is from RNAcentral.
GAAAUGCGAUACGUAGUGUGAAUUGCAGAAAACCGUGAACCAUCGAAUCUUUGAACGCAUAUUGCGCUCGAGGCUUCGGCCAAGAGCAUGUCUGCCUCAGCGUCGGGUUAACAUCGCUAUACCAACAAACAUUUAUGCUUGUUGUCACAGCGGAUCUGGCUUUCCCAGGUGUGGGUUAUUUAUAGCUCUGUCACCUGGGUCUGCUGAAGAACAGAGGUUGAUGCAUGGACCCGUUUAUGGGCCGCAGUUGGGUAGGCAGCUUCAUGCUUGCUAUCAAUAUCUUACUGUUGGCUUGGGUGUAUGCGCGCAGCCCUCAAACCAGGAACUGUGCGCGCUCCUCACAGAGCGUGUGCUUCUUUUGUUCUCGACCUGAGCUCAGGCAAGAUUACCCGCUGAACUU